This 207-nucleotide ribosomal RNA is filed under the name uncultured bacterium. RNAcentral's name for it is "partial 16S ribosomal RNA". It matches the Rfam family "Bacterial small subunit ribosomal RNA", at positions 568 to 774 of the family's 1533-position model. The record is from RNAcentral.
UGCGUAGGCGGCUGAUUAAGUCGGAUGUGAAAUCCCUGAGCUUAACUUAGGAAUUGCAUUCGAUACUGGUCAGCUAGAGUAUGGGAGAGGAUGGUAGAAUUCCAGGUGUAGCGGUGAAAUGCGUAGAGAUCCGGAGGAAUACCGAUGGCGAAGGCAGCCAUCUGGCCUAAUACUGACGCUGAGGUACGAAAGCAUGGGGAGCAAACA